RNAcentral lists this ribosomal RNA (348 nucleotides) under uncultured bacterium. RNAcentral describes it as "bacterial SSU rRNA". It matches the Rfam family "Bacterial small subunit ribosomal RNA", at positions 29 to 399 of the family's 1533-position model. The record is from RNAcentral.
AACGAACGUUGGCGGCAUGGAUUAGGCAUGCAAGUCGAGGGAAUCCCAGCAAUGGGGGAACCGGCGUAAGGGGCAGUAAGGCAUGGGUACCUACCCCGGGUUCGGAAUAGCCUUCAGAGAUGGAGGGUAAUACCGGAUGACCUCGUGAGAGCAAAGAUUUAUCGCCCUGGGAGGGGCCCAUGUGGUAUUAGCUAGUUGGUGAGGUAACGGCUCACCAAGGCGAAGAUGCCUAGCGGGUGUGAGGAGCACGACCCGCGCCACUCGCACUGAGACACUGGCGAGACACCUACGGGUGGCUGCAGUCGAGGAUCUUCGGCAAUGGGGGCAACCCUGGACCGAGCGAUGCCG